GGGUGAGUAACGCGUGAGGAACCUGCCUUGAAGAGGGGGACAACAGUUGGAAACGACUGCUAAUACCGCAUGACGCAUAGAGGUCGCAUGAUCUUUAUGCCAAAGAUUUAUCGCUUCAAGAUGGCCUCGCGUCUGAUUAGCUGGUUGGCGGGGUAACGGCCCACCAAGGCGACGAUCAGUAGCCGGACUGAGAGGUUGAACGGCCACAUUGGGACUGAGAUACGGCCCAGACUCCUACGGGAGGCAGCAGUGGGGAAUAUUGGGCAAUGGGCGCAAGCCUGACCCAGCAACGCCGCGUGAAGGAAGAAGGCUUUCGGGUUGUAAACUUCUUUUAAGAGGGAAGAGCAGAAGACGGUACCUCUAGAAUAAGCCACGGCUAACUACGUGCCAGCAGCCGCGGUAAUACGUAGGUGGCAAGCGUUGUCCGGAUUUACUGGGUGUAAAGGGCGUGCAGCCGGGUCUGCAAGUCAGAUGUGAAAUCCAUGGGCUCAACCCAUGAACUGCAUUUGAAACUGUAGAUCUUGAGUGUCGGAGGGGCAAUCGGAAUUCCUAGUGUAGCGGUGAAAUGCGUAGAUAUUAGGAGGAACACCAGUGGCGAAGGCGGAUUGCUGGACGAUAACUGACGGUGAGGCGCGAAAGUGUGGGGAGCAAACAGGAUUAGAUACCCUGGUAGUCCACACUGUAAACGAUGAAUACUAGGUGUGCGGGGACU
Molecule: ribosomal RNA, 712 nt
Filed under: uncultured bacterium
Lineage: Bacteria
Description: bacterial SSU rRNA
Rfam family: Bacterial small subunit ribosomal RNA
Source: RNAcentral